Molecule: ribosomal RNA, 253 nt
Filed under: uncultured bacterium
Lineage: Bacteria
Description: partial 16S ribosomal RNA
Rfam family: Bacterial small subunit ribosomal RNA
Source: RNAcentral
UACGUAGGGUGCGAGCGUUAAUCGGAAUUACUGGGCGUAAAGGGUGCGCAGGCGGUUUUGUAAGUCAGGUGUUAAAGCCCCGGGCUUAACCUGGGAAUGGCAUUGGAAACUGGCGAACUGGAGUGUGGCAGAGGGGGGUGGAAUUCCGCGUGUAGCAGUGAAAUGCGUAGAGAUGCGGAGGAACACCGAUGGCGAAGGCAGCCCCCUGGGCUAACACUGACGCUCAGGCACGAAAGCGUGGGGAGCAAACGGG